AAUCUGAGCUAAGUUCUUCCAACCUAGCUCACCAGCACCAGGGACCAAACAAGGAAGGGCGGAAAACAUAAGUAACACAGGGCUUAGGUAAUAACAUCGAUAUUUUGCUAAAUUCUUGAGGGCGGAAAGUUUUUAUAGAACAUCAUUUUUAGAGAGAUUCAGAUAAGUCGAUGCAGCUACAGAACGUCAAUUUUUCAAGAGAAAUGGAGCUAGUAAAAUAAAUCAGGGUGAACAGGGUCACAAUUACCGCAUCUCAAUUUCACUAAGUU
Molecule: long non-coding RNA, 269 nt
Organism: Arabidopsis thaliana (thale cress)
Lineage: Eukaryota; Viridiplantae; Streptophyta; Magnoliopsida; Brassicales; Brassicaceae
Product: other RNA
Exons: 1
Source: RefSeq